RNAcentral lists this ribosomal RNA (825 nucleotides) under Triticum aestivum (bread wheat). RNAcentral describes it as "partial small subunit ribosomal RNA". Lineage: Eukaryota; Viridiplantae; Streptophyta; Magnoliopsida; Poales; Poaceae. The record is from RNAcentral.
AUGUUGGAUGAUGACGAGGAAGCGAGCAUUUGUGCCGCUAAACCUAUCGAGAUUGAUCCAUUUGACGCUGUCUAAUCAAACAUUCCAGACCGCACUCACAUCCUGAAACUUGACGAAGAUUGCAAACACUGCAAUGCCAGGAAGUUUGAGUCUGAGACUGACAGCUUCUACUGUCGCAAUGGCCAGAUCCAGCUUAAGCAGCCGGAACCAAUCCCAGAGCUUAUGAGGCUAUGGUCCAGCAUGGAUGCAGAUUCCAGACAUUUUUGGGAUAACAUACGGUUCUUCAACGGGCAUUUCGCCUUCACAACCCUUAGCGUCAGCCUAGAUGAAAACUACACGAACAUGAAGUCUGGGAUGUACACAUUCCGAGCACAUGGUACCAUCUACCACAAUGUCCAUUCUUUCGGGCCUAGCUCCCGUCCAAAACAUCUACAGUUGUACUUCUAUGACGACGACCCUAACCUAAAUCAUCAUAAGGCGGCCACCAAGCAAUUAGACCAAGAUGUCGUCAAGAGUUUAGUAAACAUACUCAAAGAAAACCCAUACUCCCAACAAUUUAGGAGUUUGGGUUCACACAAGGACAACCUUGAUGAUUAUAGGAUAGACCUAAACACCGAUAAGUGGCUUGUCCAAAGAAGAUAUAAUAGACCGGUGUCAUCUGAGGUCGCUGCUAUUUGGGUUGAGGGCACUGACCUAGAAAAAAGGUUUGACCGCAGGAUAACACUUUGUGGUAACAACAACGAAAGGCAUAGUAUACGUGUGACCUCAGGGGCAUAUGACCCGUUGUCUUAUCCAUUAUUCUAUCCAAUGGGGGAGCUAGGUUGA